This 277-nucleotide ribosomal RNA is filed under the name uncultured bacterium. RNAcentral's name for it is "partial 16S ribosomal RNA". It matches the Rfam family "Bacterial small subunit ribosomal RNA", at positions 32 to 320 of the family's 1533-position model. The record is from RNAcentral.
AAUCAACGCUGGCGGCGUGCCUAACACAUGCAAGUCGAACGAGAAAGUGGAGCAAUCCAUGAGUAAAGUGGCGCACGGGUGAGUAACACGUGACUAACCUACCCUUGAGUGGGGAAUAACUUCGGGAAACCGAGGCUAAUACCGCAUAACACCUACGGGUCAAAGGAGCAAUUCGCUUAAGGAGGGGUCGCGGCAGAUUAGUUAGUUGGCGGGGUAAGUGGCCCACCAAGACGGUGAUCGUAUCCGGCCUGAGAGGGCGCACGGACACACUGGAACU